Molecule: ribosomal RNA, 917 nt
Filed under: Spirochaetaceae bacterium enrichment culture clone B31296
Lineage: Bacteria; Pseudomonadati; Spirochaetota; Spirochaetia; Spirochaetales; Spirochaetaceae
Description: bacterial SSU rRNA
Rfam family: Bacterial small subunit ribosomal RNA
Source: RNAcentral
AGAGUUUGAUCAUGGCUCAGAACAAACGCUGGCGGCGUGUCUUAAGCAUGCAAGUCGAGCGGCAAGGCGGGGCGACCCGCCCUAGAGCGGCGGACUGGUGAGUAACGCGUGGGUAAUCUACCUUGGGCAUGGGGAUAGCCAUUAGAAAUAGUGGGUAAUACCGAAUACGCUCGCGGGGGGAAGGGUCCUGUGAGGAAAGGGUGCUACGGCACCGGCCUGAGAUGAGCUCGCGUCCCAUUAGCUAGUUGGUGAGGUAAGGGCCCACCAAGGCGAUGAUGGGUAGCCGGCCUGAGAGGGUGUACGGCCACACUGGGACUGAGAUACGGCCCAGACUCCUACGGGAGGCAGCAGCUAAGAAUAUUCCGCAAUGGACGAAAGUCUGACGGAGCGACGCCGCGUGGAUGAAGAAGGCCGAAAGGUUGUAAAGUUCUUUUGCGAGGGAAGAAUAACCGCAGGAGGGAAUGCCUGUGGGAUGACAUGAACUUGCGAAUAAGCCCCGGCCAACUACGUGCCAGCAGCCGCGGUAACACGUAGGGGGCGAGCGUUGUUCAGAAUUACUGGGCGUAAAGGGCAUGUAGGCGGUCUGGUAAGCCUGGCGUGAAAGACCACAGCUUAACUGUGGGGUUGCGUUGGGAACUGCUGGGCUUGAGUGACGGAGAGGGAGCUGGAAUUCCUGGUGUAGGGGUGAAAUCUGUAGAUAUCAGGAAGAACACCGAUGGCGAAGGCAAGCUCCUGGCCGAUGACUGACGCUGAGGUGCGAAAGUGUGGGGAUCAAACAGGAUUAGAUACCCUGGUAGUCCACACGGUAAACGAUGUGCACUAGGUGCUGGGGCGGUAGCCUCGGUGCCGGAGCGAACGUGGUAAGUGCACCGCCUGGGGAGUAUGCUCGCAAGGGUGAAACUCAAAGGAAUUGACGG